Molecule: non-coding RNA, 1889 nt
Organism: Aegilops tauschii subsp. strangulata
Lineage: Eukaryota; Viridiplantae; Streptophyta; Magnoliopsida; Poales; Poaceae
Source: RefSeq, a predicted model, not a curated record
CCUAGCUCCCUAUGCAAUGUUUCAAAGUUUCUGACCAGAAUACAACUUUGUGAAGGAAGUACCUUCAUAGAGUUUACAAAUGGGAUGAAACUUUGCCAUACUCUCAAGUAUUCCAAAUCAUUAGCCUCAACCUAAAUUCAGUUCAUUUCAUUGAACUAUGUGAGCACAGGAGCAAUUCUUGUUUUCUGUCCAAAUUUUCAGUUUGUGAAGCAAGUAUAUUCUAUCUUGCUCCAUUAUGGCUGAAAAUAUUUCCAAGCCUUCUCCUAUCCAUAUAACCCACCAACCCAAGAGUUUGGCUCAUUUCAUGUAGCCAAUAUUUUCCCAGAAUUUUCCAAAGUUUCUGGUCAGAAGAGAUGCUUGUGAAACAAGUACCAAUUUGGCAAGUCCAUUUGAUAUGAUAUUUUUGCAGCAUCUACAUAUGACCAAAUCAUCAAGCUUUGCCAAGUUUUAGCCCAAUCCAGCACUCCUAGUGAGUGCUCCUUCAUCAUUUGAUUUCUGGACCAGGUUUGGCAUUUGUACUGCAACUAUGCUAUAUCCUUGUCGUAAUGAACCCCAACUUCCCAGGACCGUAGUCGUUGCUACCGUAAACCUCCCAAACAUCCCGUUUAGUUCUUAAUCUCACCAGUUAGAUCACCAAGAUGUGGCCAAGUUUGCAAUAGCAAACUUGUCGAGCUUGUUCCCCUCUGCUCCCUACACUUCUGCUCGUGCCAUCACCUCUUCUUUAAUGAGCCUUGGAGGGACUCCACUGAUGACAAGGGUUGGCAUGAGGUAGAUGGCCAGAGCGCGUUUUCUCCUUGGUGACACGGGCAUUGCCAGCAAAAUCGGUGGUCAAGCCACUGUUCUCGUCGGCAGCCCUGCUCCGGCCGGUUCUGGCUUGUCCAAGCGUGUCACACAGCUUCCCCUCGAUGUUGUCUUCCCCCUCGAGCUCGUUCCCCCUUCGUUUGCUUCCUCGUUGAGCCGUCACCGUCGCCGAACACAGUGAGCGCCCGUGUGCGCCGUUGUUUCCUCACACCUGUCCGCGAACUUUGCUCGAUUUUGUGACCUCCUGGCGGUCGUCCGCGUCCCCCUCGUCGCCUUGCCGCCCCUUCCCGUGAGUCUUGGCUGCCCGUGCGCGUCGCCGGCGCACGGACACUUAGCCGUGUCGCGUGUCACCUCCUCCCCUCCCUCUCGAGCCUUCCCGGCGGCUAAUUAAGCAUGCCUCGAGCUUCAUCGCGGUCCACAACCCCCUCCGAGAGCCUCUCCCCGAGCCCAGAGCCCCUCUCUGAUCCCCACCGCCGCUAUGGUCGCUGCCUCGGGUCCCUUUGAUUCCGGCGACCAGGAGUCCCCCUCGCCGUUCCACCUCCACCACGGCAUCACCUGAGGUCCGGCGAGCCUCCCCGUGGCCUCAGCCUCGCUGUUCCCCCAUCGGAGCACCCUGUUCGCUGGCGGCCGAAGCCACCUCCGCCGCGAGCCCUGCUGCUCCUUUCCCAAUCCCCCUCACUGGCAACGGAGACCACCCCGAGAUGCGCCUCUCGCUCCUGAACUCGUGGGUAGGUCAGCUGUCGUCUGCGAUGGCCAGAGUCGCCAGCAAUAGCUGUCGAGGCGAGCCCCUCCCUCGGCUAGGCGCGCGCAUGAGCGGGAGGUUGAAGACGCCAGGCCAGCCAGGCCCCUCCCCGCGUGACCCCACCUGGCAGCGUCUCGGCGUUGACCCUGCCCCGGGCCCGCGUCUAAAACGUAUUCGACCCAAAGGCGCGUUCAUUUUUUCCUCCAGGGGCCUGUUUGCUGGAAAAAAUUCACCGAUAGGUCCCUGAGCUUCAACCCUUGGUAUCUCGACAACCGUAACUCCGAUUGAGCCCCCUCCAAGAGAGAACUGUUUCCGGCAACUGUUUCCGCGAUCGUUUCACACUUCU